CCUACGGGUGGCAGCAGUGAGGAAUAUUGGUCAAUGGGCUUACGCCUGAACCAGCCAAGUCGCGUGAGGGAAGACUGCCCUAUGGGUUGUAAACUUCUUUUGUCAGGGAGCAAUUGAGUCCACGUGUGCGCUUAGCGAGAGUACCUGACGAAAAAGCAUCCGCUAACUCAGUGCCAGCAGCCGCGGUAAUACGGUGGAUGCGAGCGUUAUCCGGAUUUAUUGGGUUUAAAGGGUGCGUAGGCGGAAUAUCAAGUCAGCGGUAAAAAUUCGGGGCUCAACCCCGUCGUGCCGUUGAAACUGAUGUUCUUGAGUGGGCGAGAGGUAUGCGGAAUGCGUGGUGUAGCGGUGAAAUGCGUAGAGAUCAGGCAGAACACCGGUGGCGAAGGCAGCAUACCGGAGCCCAACUGACGCUGAGGCACGAAAGCGUGGGUAUCGAACAGGAUUAGAUACCCUUGUAGUC
This 460-nucleotide ribosomal RNA is filed under the name uncultured bacterium. Its description in RNAcentral is "partial 16S ribosomal RNA". It matches the Rfam family "Bacterial small subunit ribosomal RNA", at positions 338 to 795 of the family's 1533-position model. The record is from RNAcentral.